UGCAAUAUGGCAGAGUGGCCGAUCGCGCAUCCCUCAUAAGGAUGUUAUCCGCCCGGAUACACGUUGGUUCGAAUCCAACUAUUGCAA
This 87-nucleotide transfer RNA is filed under the name Candidatus Roizmanbacteria bacterium. RNAcentral's name for it is "tRNA-Met". It matches the Rfam family "tRNA". From Rfam's summary of the family: Transfer RNA (tRNA) molecules are approximately 80 nucleotides in length. Their secondary structure includes four short double-helical elements and three loops (D, anti-codon, and T loops). The record is from RNAcentral. Lineage: Bacteria; Candidatus Roizmaniibacteriota.